RNAcentral lists this small RNA (1009 nucleotides) under Vigna angularis var. angularis. Its description in RNAcentral is "Non-protein coding transcript". Lineage: Eukaryota; Viridiplantae; Streptophyta; Magnoliopsida; Fabales; Fabaceae. The record is from RNAcentral.
CUUGAGAUAAAUUUUACUUGUACGUGGAUGUGAAGAAAAUUCGUGAAUAUGUUGACAUCAUAGAAGAUGAAGGUUAGUUAGAGAUUUCAACUAAAUUCCAAAGACACUUUUAUGUGUUUUACCAUAUUGACUUGGCUAAAAGUGGACUGACGUGAAUUUCUGCUGUUCAAAUUGGUCCCCCUAGGUUAAAAUGAACAGGUCUUGAUGAUGCGCUCUGCAUUAUCUUCUGCAUUAUUUCUAUUUCAGCCACAAGCUUUUCAGAUGCUAUCCUACUCUAAAAGUGCGACAUGAUAAGAGGAACUAGAUCAUGUUUCUUCCAUAAUGCUGUCUCCUUUAAUUGUUCUUCAAAAGCAUUAGCCUUCUUCUAUGUUCAGUGCCUAGUGCCUAGAGUUGUGUGGUGUUACGCUGUCUUGUGAUAUAAACUAUCAUGUGGGGAGACAGAUCCAUGAAAGAGGCCAUUUUAGAGUGGUGCAAAGUUUUGUUAAAGAUGAUUUUGUUUCAACUAUGAUACUCUAUUCUUAGAAAUGUAUAUGGUUUUUUAUUAUUUUUUUCCCUGGGAAUACGCGUUAUAGUAACCAAAGGAUACUUGUUGCAGUGAAGAAAGUAGCUCAGACUUUUGUACCUAACGAUCAAUCCCAGACACAAUGUAAAAGGCGUUGUGGUUCGUUACCACAGCUAAGACAGACAGCAUGAGCAUUGCCUGAUAAAUGCCGAUGAAAUCUAUAGCAUUUUGUUGGCAUCAACGUGCAACUUGCAACAGCAGCUCUAACAAAACUAACAUGGCAUUCUCUGGAACAUUUAAAUUCCAGAGAAGCAGUACCAAGAAUCUUUUAUUGGUCCAAGAUCAUUUAUUUAGGACAUGUUUGGCUACAAACUAAAAAUGUUCGAGAUUUUUCUUUUAAAAAUAUAGUCUACACUCAGACACAGUACCAUAUAGCCGAACUAGCAGUAGCAGUAGCAGCUUUUAAUGGAUCUCUUACAGUCACGGUGACAGUUAUUAUUAUCCAAG